Molecule: long non-coding RNA, 301 nt
Organism: Daphnia magna
Lineage: Eukaryota; Metazoa; Arthropoda; Branchiopoda; Diplostraca; Daphniidae
Exons: 2
Source: RefSeq, a predicted model, not a curated record
GGACGCGGACCGCGGACUGCGGACAGGAGAAACUGCGGACUUUCACCUGCGGACUGGCCCAAAUUUUUUGACAGCAGUCCGCAGUUUCUCCACAGGGUAGCUGUCCGCAGUCCGCGUAUUAUACGGGGAUACAGCAUUCCAUAUAGACAUGUCUAUGCGUUGGUAAGGCAGAAAAUUGGACAAGACAGAUCAACCUUAUUUUUGUCAUGCAUUGGCUGUUGUUCGAUAACUGUUGCUUUUUAAAAAUAUGUAUGCAUGCAACAAUUCCAAUGAAUUAAAAUAAAAAUGCGCACAGCUCUUA